GUUUAUCCGCCAGAGGAUUACGGGCGAAAGCCUAAAACUCAAAAGACUUGACGGUGUCCCAACCCUGCCUAGAGGAGCCUGUUUCAUAAUCGAUAACCCCCGUUCAACCCAACCUUCCCUCGAACAUCCCAGCCUAUAUACCGCCGUCUUACUUCUAGCUUACCUUCUGAAAGAAACACAGUAAGCACAAUAGUCCCAACUGAAAAGUCAGGUCAAGGUGUAGCUUAUGGGAAGGAGAAAAUGGGCUACAUUUUCUGUCACAGAACACCCACGGAAAAUAUUCUGAAAUAAAAUAUAUAAAGGCGGAUUUAGCAGUAAG
Molecule: ribosomal RNA, 319 nt
Filed under: Ameiva ameiva
Lineage: Eukaryota; Metazoa; Chordata; Lepidosauria; Squamata; Teiidae
Description: partial 12S ribosomal RNA
Rfam family: Bacterial small subunit ribosomal RNA
Source: RNAcentral